AUCGCAGUCUGCAACUCGACUGCGUGAAGUCGGAAUCGCUAGUAAUCGCGGAUCAGCAUGCCGCGGUGAAUACGUUCCCGGGCCUUGUACACACCGCCCGUCACACCAUGAGAGUCGGGAACACCCGAAGUCCGUAGCCUAACCGCAAGGGGGGCGCGGCCGAAGGUGGGUUCGAUAAUUGGGGUGAAGUCGUAACAAGGUAGC
This 204-nucleotide ribosomal RNA is filed under the name uncultured bacterium. Its description in RNAcentral is "partial 16S ribosomal RNA". It matches the Rfam family "Bacterial small subunit ribosomal RNA", at positions 1297 to 1500 of the family's 1533-position model. The record is from RNAcentral.